RNAcentral lists this ribosomal RNA (109 nucleotides) under Pteropus alecto (black flying fox). The record is from RNAcentral. Lineage: Eukaryota; Metazoa; Chordata; Mammalia; Chiroptera; Pteropodidae.
GUCUACGGCCAUGCCACCCUGAACAUGUCUGAUCUCGGAAGCUAAGCAGGUUCGGGUCUGGUUAGUACUUGGAUGGGAGACCAACUAGGAAGACUGGGUGCUGCAGACA